ACGGGGUCUUGCUCUGUUGCCUGGCUGGAGUGCAGUGGUGCUAACAUGACUCACUGCACCCUUGACCUCCUGGACUCAAGUGAUCCUCCCACCUCAGCCUCCCAAGUAGCUGGGACUCCAAGUGGGUGCCACUACAGCCAUGGUGUCUUUAACUGAGAUAUGAAGAUCACAAGCAGAGAAGCUUCCGAGUUCAGGGAGGAAAUCCAGAGUUCGGAUUUGAGCAUGUUAAGUUUGAGAUCUCCGUUAGACAUCCACGAAGGUCAGAACCUUCAGACCUGUAGAUGGGCUCUUCUUGGACAUUCUGGAGUCCCUGGGGGAAAGGGAAGUCUGAAGCUCAGUUGGCCAC
Molecule: long non-coding RNA, 346 nt
Filed under: Homo sapiens (human)
Lineage: Eukaryota; Metazoa; Chordata; Mammalia; Primates; Hominidae
Description: non-protein coding lnc-AMPD3-2:3
Source: RNAcentral